AUGGCAUGGCUUAGUUAGGAGAAGAUGAUGCUCCCCAAAGCGAUGGGUGGUAUGGGGUUUAGAGAUAUGAGAGCAAUUAAUCGGGCCUUGUGAGCUAAACAAGCUUGGUGCUUGUUAGACCCACAAUGUUUAUGUGCUUUGCUAUUGCAGGCAAAGUACUACCCAAACGGAAAUCUUUUGGAUAUAGUAUUUCCAACUAACACGUCUGUAGUCUGGAAGGGUAUUAUACAUGGACUUGACCUUGUGAAGCAAGGCAUUAUAUGGAGGGUGGAAGAUGGAUCAUUAAUAAAGACCUAGCAGGACCCUUGGAUACCGCGAGGCCACGACUUGUGACCCGUCACACCAAAAUGCAACUGCAGGUACAAUAGGGUUGCAGAUUUCUUGGAUGAUCACGAAGCAUGGAAUACACAGAGAUUGUGGGAAUUUUGGGAUAUGGACGUUCGAGAGAUUGUCAAAAUAAGAACUUCCCCAAGUCUCAGGCGGGAUUUCUUAGCAUGGUUCCCAGAGAAGAGUGGUCGUUUUACCAUGAAGAGUGCCUACCGACUAGCUACCAACAAUUCGAACAGUUUGGUUGCAGGAGGUGCCUUAAGUGAUAACCUGUCCAGUGUUGAGCCGGUUUGGCAGUGUAUUUGGACCUCGCAUGUACCAUAGAAGAUGAAAAUCCUCGCUUGGAAAACAUUAAUACGAGCUCUAGGCAUGAACGUGUGCAAGAAAUAUAGGCAUAUCUCAAGGAGAGGUGCAUGCCCAUUGUGCGUCUGGGAGGAAGAAUCAAGCUUCCAUGCACUAGUUGCAUGUGAUCAUGUACGUGUGUCGUGGGAUCUUAUGAGAGGGAUCUGGCUACUACUUGAUAAAUCUUUGAUCAUCGAUACUAGAAGAGAAUGGUUGUUGAACCUACUAGCAAAGUCAUGA
RNAcentral lists this ribosomal RNA (909 nucleotides) under Triticum aestivum (bread wheat). RNAcentral describes it as "partial small subunit ribosomal RNA". The record is from RNAcentral. Lineage: Eukaryota; Viridiplantae; Streptophyta; Magnoliopsida; Poales; Poaceae.